CGGUGCUGGGUGAAGGACACCGCGCCGGUUGGGGGCCGGCGAGCGCCGCGACCAUGGCCGAAGCCGGACUGUUCUUCUGGUCGGCCUCGGCCA
This 93-nucleotide transfer RNA is filed under the name Planctomycetota bacterium. RNAcentral's name for it is "tRNA-Pro". Lineage: Bacteria; Pseudomonadati; Planctomycetota. The record is from RNAcentral.